UGGGGAAUAUUGCACAAUGGGCGCAAGCCUGAUGCAGCCAUGCCGCGUGUAUGAAGAAGGUCUUCGGGUUGUAAAGUACUUUCAUCGGGGAGGAAGGGAGUAAAGUUAAUACCUUUGCUCAUUGACGUUACCCGCAGAAGAAGCACCGGCUAACUCCGUGCCAGCAGCCGCGGUAAUACGGAGGGUGCAAGCGUUAAUCGGAAUUACUGGGCGUAAAGCGCACGCAGGCGGUUUGUUAAGUCAGAUGUGAAAUCCCCGGGCUCAACCUGGGAACUGCAUCUGAUACUGGCAAGCUUGAGUCUCGUAGAGGGGGGUAGAAUUCCAAGUGUAGCGGUGAAAUGCGUAGAGAUAUGGAGGAAUACCGGUGGCGAAGGCGGCCCCCUGGACGAAGACUGACGCUCAGGUGCGAAAGCGUGGGGAGCAAACAGG
This 429-nucleotide ribosomal RNA is filed under the name Chloroflexota bacterium. RNAcentral describes it as "Chloroflexi bacterium partial 16S ribosomal RNA". It matches the Rfam family "Bacterial small subunit ribosomal RNA", at positions 355 to 776 of the family's 1533-position model. Lineage: Bacteria; Bacillati; Chloroflexota. The record is from RNAcentral.